This 168-nucleotide ribosomal RNA is filed under the name Paraliparis grandis. RNAcentral describes it as "partial 12S rRNA". The record is from RNAcentral. Lineage: Eukaryota; Metazoa; Chordata; Actinopteri; Perciformes; Liparidae.
CACCGCGGUUAUACGAGAGGCCCAAAUUGAAAGACAUCGGCGUAAAGCGUGGUUAAAUUAAAAUUAAACUAAAGUUAAAUAUCUUUAGGACUGUCAUACGUACCCAAGGACAAGAACUUCAAUCACGAAAGUAACUUUAUAUAAACUGAACCCACAAAAGCUAUAACC